CAGCAGCCGCGGUAAUACGAAGGGGGCUAGCGUUGCUCGGAAUGACUGGGCGUAAAGGGCGCGUAGGCGGCGGCCAAAGUCAGGCGUGAAAUUCCUGGGCUCAACCUGGGGGCUGCGUUUGAUACUUGGUUGCUUGAGUGGGGAAGAGGGUCGUGGAAUUCCCAGUGUAGAGGUGAAAUUCGUAGAUAUUGGGAAGAACACCGGUGGCGAAGGCGGCGACCUGGUCCUUUACUGACGCUGAGGCGCGAAAGCGUGGGGAGCAAACAGGAUUAGAUACCCCCGUAGUCCCUGUCUCUUAUAC
This 301-nucleotide ribosomal RNA is filed under the name uncultured bacterium. RNAcentral's name for it is "partial 16S ribosomal RNA". It matches the Rfam family "Bacterial small subunit ribosomal RNA", at positions 509 to 807 of the family's 1533-position model. The record is from RNAcentral.